UACGGGGGGGGCAAGCGUUGUUCGGAAUUACUGGGCGUAAAGGGCUCGUAGGUGGCCAACUAAGUCGGACGUGAAAUCCCCCGGCUUAACCUGGGAACUGCGUCUGAUACUGGAAGGCUUGAGUAUGGGAGAGGGAUGUAGAAUUCCAGGUGUAGCGGUGAAAUGCGUAGAUAUCUGGAGGAAUACCGGUGGCGAAGGCGGCAUCCUGGACCAUUACUGACGCUGAGGCGCGAAAGCUAGGGGAGCAAACGGG
Molecule: ribosomal RNA, 253 nt
Filed under: uncultured bacterium
Lineage: Bacteria
Description: partial 16S ribosomal RNA
Rfam family: Bacterial small subunit ribosomal RNA
Source: RNAcentral